Paramisgurnus dabryanus is the source of this 1681-nucleotide non-coding RNA. The record is from RefSeq and is a predicted model, not a curated record. NCBI's taxonomy places the organism in Eukaryota, Metazoa, Chordata, Actinopteri, Cypriniformes, Cobitidae.
UCUCAAGCCCAAACCAUACAAUGCAACCUAUUGGCAUUUCUUCUUUUAGAAAUACAGAAAAUACUUAUGCUCCCUCCCUCCUUUCCAACACAAUGACUCAUUGCUUCUUCCUUAAAAAUGAAACUAAACUAAACCAGGAAGAGUUUUGUGAAAUUGAAACUUAACUAGUUUUUGAGAAUAGUCUAUAAGCUUUAACAUCACUGAACCACUGGAAGAAGACACGUUCUACCUUUAAUUUGACCAUUAUUUAGGUGGAAAUUUAACACACAACACAAACCUUCUCUCAAUGGACACCUCAUUCUGUUACACCAGUUUUCACCCUAACACAGAAGGCAUCAUGUCUGUGAGGAACGAUCUCCAAAAAAAUAAAUGUACGGACAGGAUCCUCCUCUCCAAUCUGGCCUUUGCAGAGAGUGUUCUUAGAAACCAUCCUCUGAAAGGGUCUUCAAAACUGCUGGUUAAAGGAGAAUAUUCCUAUGUACAAAUUGGUGACAGUGAGGAAAAGGUUUUUACCGUAACAUUAGAAGACAAAGAAAUCCAUCUUAACCUCUGUAUCCACGACAGCCAGGGUCCAAAAGUCAACAAAUAUAACAUAAAAGCCUGUCACUUUUUUGGCCACGCAUGCCAGGAUGAAAUCACAUCCUGCUUUGAUCAGGCUAAAGAUGCUGUUCCUGCUGAUGGGGUGCAUUUAUUACACAUCACUUGCAACAGGUUCUCCAUCAUCUACACCACUGAGUUUGUAAAUCUAAUCAAAACCGUGACAACUAAGUGUCAGUUUAAGCUCGAGACCAUCACUGCUGAGGGUUUGCUGGAGAGGAAAAUUUGGCUACAGAAAGAGAAAUCUACAAGUCAUGAACUGAUAGAAUGUCUAGAUCAUCUCAUCAAGCUAUACCUUACCACACCUGAUGCUCCAAAGAAUAACUGUAGAUUUAUCAUACAUGGAAACAAAGAAAUUGUCAGAAUUUUCUCUUCAGGUGAACAUUGCGAGAAAGAGUAUGUAUUGCAACAUGAGGGUUAUAGUAAGUUAUCAAUGUUUCCUCCGGCGUGGGAGUAGUUGCUAUGAUGACAGAGGUUAGAAGUGUUGUUUUUCAUACAGUAAAAAGUCUUUAUGCAAUAGACUAUAUUAGCAAAGAUUUAAAUAUUACAGCACCUAUGAUACAAUCAUAAUAGGAAAGCAAAAUCAGAUUUGGUAACAAUAAAUGCAAACGUGGUUUUAUUUAAAGGUUUACUUGUAUUUCAAAGAAAGAAUUUACUACUUUAAUCUACUGUGUAGUUAUGAAAUUAAUUUUAUUAUCCAAUGCACACACUUCUGUAGGUGUGUGAGGCAUUUUACUGCUUUUCAUCAUGUUUUUCAUGUCCACCUGAUUGAUAAUGUGUGUUUAUGUGAUUAGAUUUGUGAUCCUUUUAGUUGUUGGCACUACAGGUGUGGUAAGGGGAAAUGUUCAGUAGGUGGCUAGACUUGAAUUAUAGGAAGAAUGUGUUGCCCUGAACAGCUACAGUUUCUUUGUUUAUUUUUAUUUUACAUUUUGAAAUGUGGAAAGCAACUGAUCUGUAUCAGAAAUGUUUCUUUAUUUUUAUGUAAAAAAAUUUUUUAAAUAUACAGCUUCAAUCUUUACAUUUUUGUAGGUCCUCAUCUUGCAUUUUGUUGUUUUCUGGCCUAAAUACUAAUAAACUAUUUUUU